GAAAUGAUGAUAAUGAUGAACGGUUUUUCCAUUACAGUGUGAUUGCGUCACUCGAGCACCUUUGUCCAAAUUCAAAUUAUACGGUAACCUUCACUUCAAGAAAAUAAAGGUGGUGCCUCCACGGUACGUGACGACUACCACGGAAGAGACAUCGACACUGUGCCCCCCCUGCGAGGUCUGCCCAGUUUGUAAUACAUAGAUAAAGCUUUAAAUAAUUAAACAAAAUGAAAAAUUUG
Molecule: long non-coding RNA, 236 nt
Organism: Ostrinia nubilalis (European corn borer)
Lineage: Eukaryota; Metazoa; Arthropoda; Insecta; Lepidoptera; Crambidae
Exons: 2
Source: RefSeq, a predicted model, not a curated record